RNAcentral lists this transfer RNA (85 nucleotides) under Plasmodiophora brassicae. It matches the Rfam family "tRNA". From Rfam's summary of the family: Transfer RNA (tRNA) molecules are approximately 80 nucleotides in length. Their secondary structure includes four short double-helical elements and three loops (D, anti-codon, and T loops). The record is from RNAcentral. Lineage: Eukaryota; Endomyxa; Phytomyxea; Plasmodiophorida; Plasmodiophoridae.
GAAGGAGUGGCUGAGUGGUUUAAGGCGGUAAACUGUAACUUUACUAAUGUUAUCAUUAUCAUAGGUUCGAAUCCUAUCUCCCUCA